This 251-nucleotide long non-coding RNA is filed under the name Capsella rubella. RNAcentral's name for it is "long non-coding RNA (CRUB_LNC000024)". Lineage: Eukaryota; Viridiplantae; Streptophyta; Magnoliopsida; Brassicales; Brassicaceae. The record is from RNAcentral.
AUGGAUGAAGAAUGUUUAGAAGUGUGAAGAAAGACUUGUUGAAAUCUGGUCCCAAAUAGGAUAAGAACACACAACCAAUGGUUUGAGGCAGUAAUUGGCUUGUAUAAAGUUAUUUUGGGUUAGAAUAUGUUAAAAUACAAUAAAUUUGAUUGAUUAAAAGUGCUAGAGAAGGAUGAAGAAUGUUUAGAAGUGUGAAGAAAGACUUGUUGAAGUUUGGUCCCAAAUGGGAUAUGAACCCACAACCAAUGGUU